AACGAACGCUGGCGGCAUGCCUAACACAUGCAAGUCGAACGAGACCUUCGGGUCUAGUGGCGCACGGGUGCGUAACGCGUGGGAAUCUGCCCUUCGGUUCGGAAUAACUCAGGGAAACUUGAGCUAAUACCGGAUGAUGUCUUCGGACCAAAGAUUUAUCGCCGAGGGAUGAGCCCGCGUAGGAUUAGGUAGUUGGUGGGGUAAUGGCCCACCAAGCCGACGAUCCUUAGCUGGUCUGAGAGGAUGAUCAGCCACACUGGGACUGAGACACGGCCCAGACUCCUACGGGAGGCAGCAGUGGGGAAUAUUGGACAAUGGGCGAAAGCCUGAUCCAGCAAUGCCGCGUGAGUGAUGAAGGCCUUAGGGUUGUAAAGCUCUUUUACCAGGGAUGAUAAUGACAGUACCUGGAGAAUAAGCUCCGGCUAACUCCGUGCCAGCAGCCGCCGCGG
Molecule: ribosomal RNA, 449 nt
Filed under: uncultured bacterium
Lineage: Bacteria
Description: partial 16S ribosomal RNA
Rfam family: Bacterial small subunit ribosomal RNA
Source: RNAcentral